This 576-nucleotide ribosomal RNA is filed under the name fungal sp. MG152Sc1L6x. RNAcentral describes it as "eukaryotic LSU rRNA". The stretch from base 234 to 387 matches the Rfam family "5.8S ribosomal RNA". Lineage: Eukaryota; Fungi. The record is from RNAcentral.
CUUGGUCAUUUAGAGGAAGUAAAAGUCGUAACAAGGUCUCCGUAGGUGAACCUGCGGAGGGAUCAUUACACAAAUAUGAAGGCGGGCUGGAACCUCUCGGGGUUACAGCCUUGCUGAAUUAUUCACCCUUGUCUUUUGCGUACUUCUUGUUUCCUUGGUGGGUUCGCCCACCACUAGGACAAACAUAAACCUUUUGUAAUUGCAAUCAGCGUCAGUAACAAAUUAAUAAUUACAACUUUCAACAACGGAUCUCUUGGUUCUGGCAUCGAUGAAGAACGCAGCGAAAUGCGAUAAGUAGUGUGAAUUGCAGAAUUCAGUGAAUCAUCGAAUCUUUGAACGCACAUUGCGCCCUUUGGUAUUCCAAAGGGCAUGCCUGUUCGAGCGUCAUUUGUACCCUCAAGCUUUGCUUGGUGUUGGGCGUCUUGUCUCUAGCUUUGCUGGAGACUCGCCUUAAAGUAAUUGGCAGCCGGCCUACUGGUUUCGGAGCGCAGCACAAGUCGCACUCUCUAUCAGCAAAGGUCUAGCAUCCAUUAAGCCUUUUUUUCAACUUUUGACCUCGGAUCAGGUAGGGAUACC